GUGGAGCUAGGUGGGUCUGAGUGUGGAAAUAGCCUGGGAGGAGUGGAGCCAAGAGAUGGAUCCUGAUGGCAGUGUAAACUGAGUCAAGUCACAGAUGAAGCAACCUUGAACCUAGGAAAAUGUCAUAAGAAAGUUUGUCACAGCUCGGUGUUUGAUGUUGAUCCAGGUUACCUCUUGAUAGUCUGAGAAUGGACAUCUCUCAAGCUAUUAUCCCUUCUCGGUGCAUUCUCAAUGGGGGAAGAUGUUGU
Vicugna pacos (alpaca) is the source of this 248-nucleotide non-coding RNA. The record is from RefSeq and is a predicted model, not a curated record. Lineage: Eukaryota; Metazoa; Chordata; Mammalia; Artiodactyla; Camelidae.